Malus domestica (apple) is the source of this 1022-nucleotide long non-coding RNA. RefSeq lists it as uncharacterized. NCBI's taxonomy places the organism in Eukaryota, Viridiplantae, Streptophyta, Magnoliopsida, Rosales, Rosaceae. The record is from RefSeq and is a predicted model, not a curated record.
UUUCUCCUCCUUUCACGGCACAAACUUCCCCAUCUCUCUUUUCCUUAAUCUUUCUUGUCCUGCUCUCUCUUUCUUUUCGAGAUAUUUUUUCUCUUAUUUCCUUCUCCAUUGCUUCUUAAUAUUGCUACCUUUUUGUUUGAUUAAAUAUUUUUUCUCUCGAUCUGCUAUUUAGCAGGUUUUGUAUGCUAUUCGUAUUGCGAUGGGUAGAUGUUUAUCCUCGUUUCUUUUCAUAAAUAGAUCAAAGAAUGGAUCAUGGAAGAAGCAUCAUUUUGGUGUAUUUGUAGAAAUUGAUCAUGGAAGACGCAUCAUUUUGUUGUUGGGAAUCAAAAGACCGGGUGUUGCGCGACUUUGUGGCAUGGCAGGUUAAAAUUAAAUACUGAUGCGGCAUGGCAGAAGGAAACAAAGGUAGGUGGAGUAGGUUGGGUCUUGCGCGACUUUGCAGGAAUUCCAAAGAUGGUGGGAGGAAAUGGUGGGGAGUACUUCUUGUCAUCAGAUAUGGCUGAGGCGGCAGCCAUAAGACAUGGGCUGCAGAUGUGUGUUUGAAGGGGAUUUCAUGCGUCCGGGGAGGUACUGGAGGUGGAGUCUGAUUCGAAGGGAUUGGCUCAAAUGUUAAAUAACGAGAUUCAAGCUGAUGUGUUGAUGGUGGUCUAUUUAGUUGAUAUUUGGAAUAUAAUGCAGUCAUUCCAAUCGGUGAAGUUUAUCUUUACCCUUUGACAAAGCAAUCGUGUAGCUUAUAUGAUGGUGGCGUACGUUCUUAAGCAUGGUGAGAGCUAUGGUUGGGAUGAAUUAGGACCUCAAUUUUUGUUUAAUGUUCUAGGAGAAGAUGUAAAUGUUUUCAUUCGUAUUUGAUAAUUAAUACAAUUCUAUCCUUUGACAAAUAAAAAAAAAAGACCGGUUGUUGAUUAGAUAUAAGUUUUGCUAGAGUCCCUUAUGUACUACUUUCUGGUUUUUAUUUGUAUUUGUCCAUCAUGUGUCGAUCGAAGUUUAUUCUUGUAUAUCUAAAGAGUUUUGAAUGAAUAGUA